GGAAAAACAGGAAAUCUGCAGAUGCUGCUUUUAUUAGAAUCUAUGGCUUAAGUUGGAAAGGACCUUAAAGGUCAUUAUUUCCCUGCUCUUCCCAGCCAGCCCUCUUCCCCUGUGCACCCCCGGCCCUCCACGCUGCACCCAGCGUGCAAGGAGCAUCCUGGCAGCAGGGACAGUUAGGUUUUGGCCAGCGGAGAAAGCUGGAGGUGUUCCAGGAGAGCUGUCACAAUGCAAGUCUGGGCCAACUCAACGCGGCAGCGAGAGGAGGACCAGUUGCAGCUCGAGUCUGAGCACCUAGAUGGCCACAACGCCCUUCACGUGGCUGCAGAUGACUGUGGGGCUGCCGGCACCAUCCCGCUCAGUGCAUCUGCCAGGGAGGCUGAGGUGCCUGCCCCGGUGCUUCCACCACCCAUCCACCUAACCCAAGCUCCUUAUGUUUAACCACAUGGGACGCGGGGCCCAACUCUGCACCUUCCACUGCAUUGGGCAUUUCUGGAUUGGCGGGGGUCUUUGACGAGCAAUAAGCAGUUGCCUUUGGGCACGUAGAGUCUGUUGGACUGGAACUCAGCUCUGGGGAAAACACGAGGGCUCUGCUCUGCUCCCCUGGGUAACUGCACAGCCUCAGGGGAGCACCCAAGCUCCGUGCAGGCAUGGAUCUGUGCAGGAUCUUCUCAAAGCUGGCAACUACCGUGACAUGCAACAAAGGGAAACUGACAAAUCACAAACGUGGAGCAUGAAAACCAAAGAUACGCCACAAUUUUACUUACGGGUGUGUAAUAAAUAAAUGGUGGACAAAACAGGAACAGCCACAUUCAAAAAUCCAGAUCACUAAAGUGCUUUUAAGACAUAAAUAUAGGACGACCAAGAA
Molecule: long non-coding RNA, 865 nt
Filed under: Gallus gallus (chicken)
Lineage: Eukaryota; Metazoa; Chordata; Aves; Galliformes; Phasianidae
Description: long non-coding RNA NONGGAT005870
Source: RNAcentral